AAGUUGAAUUUUCUGUGUGUUUCUCCUUGCUUUGGAAUCACAGUUCAAAUUUGUUCUUUUGUUAUGUUUUUUUUUUUUUUUUCUUCUUCUUUCUAUUAGUGAUGUCUGAGAUUUUCAAGCCCAAUGGAAAUCAUGAAAUAUCAUUGGAGGAAGGAGUGAAUGGGAAUUUAUUGUUCCAAGUAAAGAUGGGGAUUCUUCUUUCACUGCUUUGAAAAACAGCAGAGGAUGGAGUUCUCAGUUCUCUGUGUCAUUCUUACAGAAGGUUUUGGAUGUAAAACCAAUAGCAAUUCGAAAUCUCUCUUAUUGGUGAUGGAUUAUAUUGAAGUUUUCUGUGUCCAAGUUCCUGGAGCUUGUGGAGGCAAGCCGUGUGGCCAAGGAAGUCAAGCACCCAUUCAGGAACCCCCUCAAGCGACGCAAAUGCCCGCAGCUGAUUACUGCUAUGGUCAUGCAGGUCAGCCUCCCUCGCAAGUCUCUGCCUUAAGUAUAAAACACCCACAACAAAUGACAAAACGGAUCUUCCAGCAAUUCACGGGCAUUAAUGCCAUAAUAUUCUAUGCCCCAGUCCUUUUCAACACUCUGGGGUUCAAGAACGAUGCUUCCCUCUACUCGGCCAUCAUCACAGGCGCUGUCAAUGUUGUCUCCACUACGGUCUUGAUCUAUGCUGUAGACAAGGUGGGCCGCAGGCUGCUCUUGCUGGAAGCAGGGGUUCAGAUGUUUUUCUCUCAGUGACUUCCUCUCUAUACCAUCUUCUCCUUCCAUUGAAUUCAUGCAAAAACAAGAUGAAAUUGAGCAUGAAGAGAGACAAAAGCAAUCCAACACCUUCCCAAUGGUCCAAUCCCUUCAACUCUUUCACAGACGCCAAAUCUCAAAACUCUGUAAGAUUUCUGUCACUUGUAUUUGAGUUGCUUGUUCUAUUUUGUGGUUUAUCCUUUCUAAUAUCUACUUGAAAGCAUUGAAUUGUUUUUUUUCCUUCUCAUUUGGGUGUUCUCAGUUACGCAUUUGCAUUGGGAGUUUGUCCGAUGGAACAUACCUGAACUACAUUUUUUUUUUUUUUUUUUGGAUAUAUUUGUGAUCAUUCAUCAUGGUCCCUUUGAUAUAUCUUGGUUAACGUAGAAGGAAAGAUCUUGGCUAUUGUAUUAGUAAAUGGGCUUGAUCAUUUGACAAGAUGACCAUCUUUCAGUCCUCAAACCAAACUUUGUGGUAAUGUGGUGAAAAUCGUUAGCCUUUACUUGUUUUCAGUUGUAGUGAAUGGUAGUAUGCAAUUUUUUCAUUCCUUGAACCCUUAGUCCCUGAUGGAUUGACUUUUGGCGAGGCUCGAUCCUCAGAAUGGUCUCUGUAAGUGUCUUGUUCGAA
Magnolia sinica is the source of this 1353-nucleotide RNA transcript. It is a transcript of the gene named sugar transport protein MST3-like, with no coding region annotated. NCBI's taxonomy places the organism in Eukaryota, Viridiplantae, Streptophyta, Magnoliopsida, Magnoliales, Magnoliaceae. The transcript is spliced from 5 exons. The record is from RefSeq and is a predicted model, not a curated record.